UACGAAGGGGGCUAGCGUUGUUCGGAAUUACUGGGCGUAAAGCGCACGUAGGCGGAUUGUUAAGUUAGGGGUGAAAUCCCAGGGCUCAACCCUGGAACUGCCUUUAAUACUGGCAAUCUCGAGUCCGAGAGAGGUGAGUGGAAUUCCGAGUGUAGAGGUGAAAUUCGUAGAUAUUCGGAGGAACACCAGUGGCGAAGGCGGCUCACUGGCUCGGUACUGACGCUGAGGUGCGAAAGUGUGGGGAGCGAACAGG
RNAcentral lists this ribosomal RNA (253 nucleotides) under uncultured bacterium. RNAcentral's name for it is "partial 16S ribosomal RNA". It matches the Rfam family "Bacterial small subunit ribosomal RNA", at positions 524 to 776 of the family's 1533-position model. The record is from RNAcentral.